GUUAGUGAUGCUCUUAUUCAAGUGGUUUUGGUUUGGCUGCCUCUGACACUUUAUUCCAUGUUGCCUAAUAGUUUUAAAAGCCCCUAUUUUAUAGUCAGUGCAUCUUUCUGUGGGUCCCCAGAGAAGGGAAGACUGUGAGAUCAUAAUGCCUGGUUAUGGCAAAAAGACCGCAAUUCCCACCAGAGAGCAAAAAGGAAGUAAAGCUACCAUUGUUGAUCUGAAACUAAAUGGAUUCUUGUCCGUUGUGAGGAGCAGCAGCCUACAAAGCACACUGAAUGCCAAAUGUGUUGCACCAGGGCUACAGGGAGUCGACUGCUCACAGAAAGCAAGCAUUCUGUUCUAAUUCUGUGCUGUAAGCUUUGCAAUAAGAGGCUCCAUAUGAGAAGGCUGGUGGUUGCCCAGCUGGGCUUAUGACAGACACACCCAGAUGUUUUUAAUCUAUGCAAAAUAAUGAUGGAUACUUGCUACCUUCUUCAACUAAUUUUCAAGAUGUAUUUAUAUAAAAUAAAAGAGUCUUUUAAAGCACAACUUUUUUCAAAUGUAUUUGUUACUGCACCUUUUGCCCUGGAAAAUUAUUUUUCUAUUUUUAUUUUUAUUUUUUGAGACAGGGUCUCACUCUGUCACCCAGGUUGGAGUGCAGUGGUGUGAUCACAGAUCACUGCAGCCUCGACCCCCACAGGCUCAAGUGAUCCUCCCACCUCAGGCCCCUGAGUAGCUGGGACUACAGGCAUGCACCACUAUACCAGCUGAUUUUUAAAACUUUUUGUAGAGACAGAAUCUCACUACAUUGCCCAAGCUAGUCUCAAACUUCUGGUCUCGAGCCACCCUCCCACCUCAGCCUCCCAAUGUGCUGGGAUUACAGGCAUACGCCACCACACCCAGCCUUAUUAUUUUGCUCUUUAGAGAUAAGAUAUCCAAACUUCAAAAAUAUUGUUAAUUUGGUACAAGUUAAAUCUCAGAAAUUUUGGAAACAAUCGCCUUCUGUAAUAUAUGUAAAAUAUUAUACACAGUGUCUGGCAUACAGUUAGUGCUAAAUAAAAGUUUUUC
This 1047-nucleotide long non-coding RNA is filed under the name Homo sapiens (human). RNAcentral describes it as "non-protein coding lnc-SLC7A14-3:4". Lineage: Eukaryota; Metazoa; Chordata; Mammalia; Primates; Hominidae. The record is from RNAcentral.